This 570-nucleotide ribosomal RNA is filed under the name uncultured bacterium. RNAcentral describes it as "bacterial SSU rRNA". It matches the Rfam family "Bacterial small subunit ribosomal RNA", at positions 927 to 1496 of the family's 1533-position model. The record is from RNAcentral.
AAGCGGUGGAGCAUGUGGUUUAAUUCGAAGCAACGCGAAGAACCUUACCCGGCCUUGACAUCCCGAUGGAUGCGGAGCAAUGUCCGCAGCCCUCCGGGGCAUUGGAGACAGGUGGUGCAUGGUUGUCGUCAGCUCGUGUCGUGAGAUGUUGGGUUAAGUCCCGCAACGAGCGCAACCCUUAUCCUUAGUAGCCAGCAGGUAAAGCCGGGCACUCUAGGGAGACUGCCGGGGACAACCCGGAGGAAGGCAGGGAUGACGUCAAAUCAUCAUGCCCCUUAUGGCCGGGGCUACACACGUGCUACAAUGGCGCAGACAGAGGGAGGCGACCCUGUGAAGGCAAGCAAAUCCCGGAAAGAGCGCCCCAGUUCGGAUUGUAGUCUGCAACCCGACUACAUGAAGCCGGAAUCGCUAGUAAUCGCGGAUCAGAAUGCCGCGGUGAAUACGUUCCCGGGUCUUGUACACACCGCCCGUCACACCAUGGGAGCCGGGAAUGCCCGAAGUCGGUGACCCAACCGUAAGGAGGGAGCCGCCGAAGGCAGGCCUGGUAACUGGGGUGAAGUCGUAACAAGG